AUUGAACGCUGGCGGCAUGCCUUACACAUGCAAGUCGAACGGCAGCACGGGAGCAAUCCUGGUGGCGAGUGGCGAACGGGUGAGUAAUAUAUCGGAACGUGCCCAGUCGUGGGGAUAACGUAGCGAAAGCUACGCUAAUACCGCAUACGAUCUACGGAUGAAAGCGGGGGAUCGCAAGACCUCGCGCGAUUGGAGCGGCCGAUAUCAGAUUAGGUAGUUGGUGAGGUAAAGGCUCACCAAGCCGACGAUCUGUAGCUGGUCUGAGAGGACGACCAGCCACACUGGGACUGAGACACGGCCCAGACUCCUACGGGAGGCAGCAGUGGGGAAUUUUGGACAAUGGGCGCGAAGCCUGAUCCAGCAAUGCCGCGUGCAGGAUGAAGGCCUUCGGUUGUAAC
Molecule: ribosomal RNA, 398 nt
Filed under: uncultured bacterium
Lineage: Bacteria
Description: bacterial SSU rRNA
Rfam family: Bacterial small subunit ribosomal RNA
Source: RNAcentral